GAUGAACGCUGGCGGCGUGCCUAAUACAUGCAAGUCGAGCGAACAGACGAGGAGCUUGCUCCUCUGACGUUAGCGGCGGACGGGUGAGUAACACGUUGAUAACCUACCUAUAAGACUGGGAUAACUUCGGGAAACCGGAGCUAAUACCGUAUAAUAUAUUAAACCGCAUGGUUCAAUAGUGAAAGACGGUUUUGCUGUCACUUAUAGAUGGAUCCGCGCCGCAUUAGCUAGUUGGUAAGGUAACGGCUUACCAAGGCAACGAUGCGUAGCCGACCUGAGAGGGUGAUCGGCCACACUGGAACUGGGAACCGGUCCAGACUCCUACGGGAGGAAGCAGUGGGGAAUCUUCCGCAAUGGGCGAAAGCUUGACGGAGCAACGCCGCGUGAGUGAUGAAGGUCUUCGGAUCGUAAAACUCUGUUAUUAGGGAAGAACAAAUGUGUAAGUAAAUAUGCACGUCUUGACGGUACCUAAUCAGAAAGCCACGGCUAACUACGUG
Molecule: ribosomal RNA, 497 nt
Filed under: uncultured bacterium
Lineage: Bacteria
Description: partial 16S ribosomal RNA
Rfam family: Bacterial small subunit ribosomal RNA
Source: RNAcentral